GGUCCUAUCGUCUAGGGGCCCAGGACGACACCCUUUCAAGGUGUAGACACGGGUUCGAAUCCCGUUGGGAUCA
RNAcentral lists this transfer RNA (73 nucleotides) under Anaerolineae bacterium. RNAcentral describes it as "tRNA-Glu". It matches the Rfam family "tRNA". Rfam says of the family: Transfer RNA (tRNA) molecules are approximately 80 nucleotides in length. The record is from RNAcentral. Lineage: Bacteria; Bacillati; Chloroflexota; Anaerolineae.